GACGAACGCUGGCGGCGUGCUUAACACAUGCCAGUCGAACGGAAAGGCCCUGCUUUUGUGGGGUGCUCGAGUGGCGAACGGGUGAGUAACACGUGAGUAACCUGCCCUUGACUUUGGGAUAACUUCAGGAAACUGGGGCUAAUACCGGAUAGGAGCUCCUGCUGCAUGGUGGGGGUUGGAAAGUUUCGGCGGUUUGGGAUGGACUCGCGGCUUAUCAGCUUGUUGGUGGGGUAGUGGCUUACCAAGGCUUUGACGGGUAGCCGGCCUGAGAGGGUGACCGGCCACAUUGGGACUGAGAUACGGCCCAGACGCCUACGGGAGGCAGCAGGGGGGAAUAUUGCACAAUGGGCGGAAGCCUGAUGCAGCAACGCCGCGUGCGGGAUGACGGCCUUCGGGUGGUAAACCGCUUUCGCCUGUGACGAAGCGUGAGUGACGGUAAUGGGUAAAGAAGCACCGGCUAACUACGUG
This 468-nucleotide ribosomal RNA is filed under the name uncultured bacterium. RNAcentral's name for it is "partial 16S ribosomal RNA". It matches the Rfam family "Bacterial small subunit ribosomal RNA", at positions 28 to 507 of the family's 1533-position model. The record is from RNAcentral.